AUGUUACGUGUGUGUUACAGAUGCGAGCACCUCCUAACAAGCCCCCUGGUGGAAGGGGCAGCAGCACGUUGCUCGGGAGCUGUCAGAGACACCAGCAGCUUGCCGCAACUGCUGGAUAUGUUAUGUGUGGUCCAACUGGCAGCCUGCAGGCCAGCUCCAGGCUGCUGUGCUGAUCCAUCCGGCCCACCAGCUUCUUCUCUGGAAGAGAUGGAGAACAGCUGUUUGGAGCAACGACUGCACCCUCCAGCCGCCAAGCUUGUCCUCCAACACAAAGGCAAAACCCUGCUGCUGUUGACAGGAGGUGCCCUGGUGCAUGGAAGAGAGAUUGUGGAGUCAAUGCGCUAUUAAUCAG
Molecule: long non-coding RNA, 352 nt
Filed under: Anas platyrhynchos platyrhynchos (common mallard)
Lineage: Eukaryota; Metazoa; Chordata; Aves; Anseriformes; Anatidae
Description: lncRNA (ENSAPLG00000022540.1)
Source: RNAcentral